Molecule: ribosomal RNA, 253 nt
Filed under: uncultured bacterium
Lineage: Bacteria
Description: partial 16S ribosomal RNA
Rfam family: Bacterial small subunit ribosomal RNA
Source: RNAcentral
UACGUAGGGAGCAAGCGUUGUCCGGAAUCAUUGGGCGUAAAGCGCGCGUAGGCGGCCCUGUAAGUCUGUUGUGAAAGUCAAAGGCUCAACCUUUGAAAGCCGAUGGAUACUGCGGGGCUAGAGUCCGGAAGAGGCGAGUGGAAUUCCUGGUGUAGCGGUGGAAUGCGCAGAUAUCAGGAGGAACACCAAUAGCGAAGGCAGCUCGCUGGGACGGUACUGACGCUAAGGCGCGAAAGCGUGGGGAGCGAACAGG